This 868-nucleotide ribosomal RNA is filed under the name Tissierella sp. RNAcentral describes it as "bacterial SSU rRNA". It matches the Rfam family "Bacterial small subunit ribosomal RNA", at positions 57 to 923 of the family's 1533-position model. The record is from RNAcentral. Lineage: Bacteria; Bacillati; Bacillota; Tissierellia; Tissierellales; Tissierellaceae.
GCAGUCGAGCGAAGUUUUUACUUUAGAUCCCUUCGGGGUGACGAAGUAAUUAUCUUAGCGGCGGACGGGUGAGUAACGCGUGAGAAACCUGCCUUUCACAAAGGGAUAGCCUCGGGAAACUGGGAUUAAUACCUUAUGAUACUUAUUUUACACAUGUAAAAUAAGUCAAAGCGCUUUAGCGGUGAAAAAUGGUCUCGCGUCCCAUUACCUAGUUGGUGAAAUAAAAGCUCACCAAGGCAAUGAUGGGUACCCGGCCUGAAAGGGUGAACGGCCACACUGGAACUGAAACACGGUCCAAACUCCUACGGGAGGCAGCAGGGGGGAAUAUUGCACAAUGGAGGAAACUCUGAUGCAGCGACGCCGCGUGAACAAUGAAGGCUUUCGGGUCGUAAAGUUCUGUCCUUGGGGAAAAUAAUGACGGUACCCAAGGAGGAAGCCCCGGCUAACUACGUGCCACCAGCCGCGGUAAUACGUAGGGGGCGAGCGUUGUCCGGAUUUAUUGGGCGUAAAGGGUUCGCAGGCGGCCUUUUAAGUCAGGUGUGAAAAAUCACAGCUCAACUGUGGUAAGCACUUGAAACUGAAAGGCUUGAGUUAAGGAAAGGAAAGUGGAAUUCCUAGUGUAGCGGUGAAAUGCGUAAAUAUUAGGAGGAAUACCAGUGGCGAAGGCGACUUUCUGGACUUAUACUGACGCUGAGGAACGAAAGCGUGGGGAGCAAACAGGAUUAGAUACCCCUGGUAGUCCCACGCCGUAAACGAUGAGUGCUAGGUGUCGGGUGUCAAAGCUCGGUUGCCGCAGCUAACGCAUUAGCACUCCGGCCUGGGGAAGUACGUAACGCAAGUAUGAAAACUUCAAAGGAAUUGGAACCUG